GUAAGGAAAUCUACACAAGGGGAGAUCAAAAAAAGAAAGCAGGCAGUUCUCUUCUGUUUAAGCGAUAACAAAAGACAAAUAAUUGUAGAGGAAGCAAAGCAGAUCUUGGUGGGUGACGCUGGUGACGCUGCAGAGGACCCUACACAUCUCUGUGAAGCCGCUGCCUCUGAACGAUUGCCGAUAGGCUUUGUGCGAUGCCACGUGCGAGACAAAAGAGCCUAAGAAAGAAGACCUAGCAUCUAUAUUCUGGGCUCCUGAAAGUGCACCUUUAAAUAGCAAGAUGAUUUAUGCUAGCUCUAAAGAUACCAUUAAAAAGAAAUUUACAGAUAUUAAACAUGAGUGGCAAGUAAAUGGCUUGGAUGAUAUUAAGGACCAUUCGACACUUGGAAAGAAAUUGGAAGUCAAUGUAGUAGUUUCACUUGAAGGAAAGCCAUUAUAAAAUGACAGUCAAAUGCCAUCUGGAUCUUAAGGAGCUUCCAUUUCUGCAGCUCAGUCCUCGGAAUAGUAUUAGGUUUUGUUUUUUUGUUGUUGUUUUGUUUUAUUCCCCUUUCCACUGGGCCCUUCCAACACAAGGAAUGAAGGAGAUAUCAUUCAUUUAAGCAGCCUAUCAGUGAUUGCCAUUAGACUGUUUAUACUGUUACUUUUAUGUAGAGCCUAAGGAAUGCCUUCUUGUUAUAUUUUAGCCAAAACAACUGGUUAUAUAUGCCUCCCCUACAGCAAGCACUACAGUGAAUGUGUUUGUCAAUGUGAAUAGCUUAGAAUACUGCAAAGGGGAAGCUAAUUGAAUGCCUUGAAAAGUACUAUCCACUGGUCAGAUGGUAAACUUUUUUCAGUAUUAUUUAAAGUUCCACUUGAUUGCACUCUGAGGCUCGAGCACUGAUACACCUCACCUGCCUUGGCAAGCCUAUUUUUGUGACAUGGCAGCACAGAUAAACACUAUGCAUUAAAAGCACUUUUCUGUAAUAAGUUUAAUCUUCCAAAAGGAAUGCCAAUUAAGUUUUUUU
Non-coding RNA from Microcebus murinus (gray mouse lemur), 1004 nucleotides. Lineage: Eukaryota; Metazoa; Chordata; Mammalia; Primates; Cheirogaleidae. The record is from RefSeq and is a predicted model, not a curated record.